RNAcentral lists this long non-coding RNA (11193 nucleotides) under Physcomitrium patens. RNAcentral describes it as "long non-coding RNA (PPAT_LNC003741)". Lineage: Eukaryota; Viridiplantae; Streptophyta; Bryopsida; Funariales; Funariaceae. The record is from RNAcentral.
UUUGAUUUAGGGUUAGGAUUUGGUUAGGAUUUGAUUUAAGAUUAGGAUUUGAUUUAAGGUUUAGAAUUUGGUUUAGGAUUUAAGAUUUAGUUAGGAUUUGAUUUAAGAUUUAAGAUUUGAUUAGGAUUUGUUUUAGGAUUAGGAUUUGGUUAGGAUUUGAUUUAAGAUUUAGGAUUUGGUUUAGGAUUUAAGGUUUGGUUAGGAUUUGGCUUAAGAUUUAGGAUUUGAUUAGGAUUUGAUUUAGGAUUAGGAUUUGGUUAGGAGUUGAUUUAGAGUUUAGGAUUUGGUCAGGAUUUGAUUUAGGAUUUAGGAUUUUAUUUGAUUUUGUUUAAGAUUUAAGAUUUAAUUAGUUUUUGGCCUAAAGUUUGAAUGAAGUCCAAUAGGAUUUCAACUAGGAUUAAAUUAAGAUUGAAUUGAGAUGUAUUUGAGAUAUAUUUGUAAUUAUUCUAAUAUUUCUUUAAGAUUUCUUAUUGUUUCUUUGUAAUUCCUUUGAAGUUUUUUUAAAUUUGAUUAAAUCUUAUUUAGAAUUGUUAGUGUUCUAUUAAAGUUAGGAUUUUGUUGUUGCAAUUUCCAUUCUACCUUCCACAGCUAAGUGCCUGGAGCAUUCUCAAGCAAGACUUCAUAUAUUAUGACAACACCCACAAAUGGCUAUAAACACUAUCACAAGAUCUGUACAAUGUGACAUAGGUACAAUACUUCUUUACUGCUGUAUUGCAAUUAAAGAGAGAGAGAGAGAGAGAGAGAGAGAAAAAAAAAAAAAAAAAAAAUUGUCACCAUUGAUAGUUCAAAUUAUACAUUGCAAAAGCUCAUUGUACUCUAUCACACAAACAUUGAUGAAGAGUCAUUUUGUGAACUAGACCUUUCUUUGCUAGAGGAAAUUUUACAUAAGUACUAAUAACUUCCACCACCUCUCUAAGAAUGAGGCUUAGUAAUCAUCGAUCACAAAAAAAUAAGAAUAAAACUCAUUAUCGAUGCAAGCUUGAUUACAUCAUAUAACUGUCUCUAGUUCAAAUAUCCACACACAAAAGGAAUUAAAGAAUCCAAUGACAAAAUUCAUAUUCUAUACAAAUUUGUAGAAAAAACAUUGACCAAAAGCAGAAGUUGUUGUACCUCCACUCGAAUUGGAAUAACGAACUACCAAAAUUACAAAUAGAAGACUUCACAUACCAAUUCCAUUAAAAAUAAGUAAAUCAAAUCCAAAAAAACCAUAAGAAAAAACUGCUCUAAGCAUAGCUUAUUAAAAAUGUGGAGCUACCAUAUACAAGAAAAAAAAAAUAAGAAAAAAAGAAGUUUGAAGCGUUGUCAUGGACAUGCAUAUUUAUUCCAAUAAUUACCUAUAUGAUUAAAUAGAAGCAGGUAAAAGUAGAUUAAUUUCAUAAUAACUUUUAAAAAAGCUUCUUAGAAGCUUAAUAGAUGUGUUUUUGAUUUUAUAUGUAUUUGUAGUUAUUUGAUAUGUUAAAAACUUGGUCAAUAAGUUAAUCACAUAUCACAUAUAUUGAUAGCUUAUAGAAUAAUCUUACUAUGUGGUGUACAUAUAUAAAGCUUGUCUUGCAAGUUAAGAUAUGUAUUUUGCAAAGUCUACACAUAUUGGAGAUCUUAUAGAACAUUGGUAUAUAGCUCUUAGUUAGAUAGUAUAUAUGGAGGCUAGAGUGAAGCCUUCUUUAUUCUUGUCAAUACCUUUCUAGUCAUUAGUAUUGUUUUAAGACUUUUUAGUCUUCUUGUCUUUGGCAAUAGCCAUUCUAGUUUAAUAUUAUACCAUCUUUGAGUGAUUUUUUAGUCUUUUCAAGUGAUACAAGCAUGUAUUAGUCUUUAAGUUCUUUGAGACUCAUAUCCUUAACAGCUUGACAAGAGUGUUAACUUAUUGUUCUUACUUUUUUAAAAAGUGAGUGAAUUAUCUCACUUCUAUUAUUACAUUUUGAAGGUUAUGGAUUAAUUAAUUUUAAACAAAUAGAUUAAAUUUUUAAUAUUUAUUUUUUCCUUAAAGAAAGUAGAUUAUACCUUUUUGUAGAAAUUUUUAUUUGAUAUUAGAGAUUGUGGAUUAUCUUUCUCUCAUUUAAUUUUUUGAAUUUGUUUGAAUCGUCUAUGAAAGAAAAGAUUAUGGAUGCUACCAUCAAAAAAAAAUAAGAAUAAAUUUACAACUAUUACAAAUCUUCAUGAACUUUUCAACAUUCUAAAAGUAAAAAUUUCAUAUAUUUUCAAUGUGAAUCAUGGAAGUACUAUUUCUAUCCCUAUAGAAGAAUUCAACAAUUAAGUUCAAAGUCUAUGCUAAAAAAUUACAUAAUUGAGAAAAGCAAGUAGAUCAAAUUUAUAAUUAAAUCCAAAAAGUCUUACUACUAUAAGCAUAAAGGAGGUAAGGAUAAGUAUGCUUUAAAAUUUUGAUGGAAUAAGAUCAAAUUUUCAAGGAUUUCUACAACAAAUAAAGUUCUAUCUAAGGUUGUAUCCUUCUCAAUAUCUUGAAGGAUUUACUUAAGUUGGAUUUAUAGGGAUAAUUCUUUUUAAAAUUAAUCUCUCUUAAUUUGUACCUUUCAUAGAAAAAGAUUCAUGACUACUCUAUAACUUAAAUUUAUUUUUAAAAGUUUUUAUAGCUAUAUUUGAAAAAAAUGAUGGAAAAAAAGUUGCAAAGACUAAGCUCAUAUUUCUACAACAAGGAUCAUAUUUAAUCACCACAUAUGUUAUUGAAUUCCAAAAUCUUAUUUGCAAUGUGGAUUGGAAUGACAAAUCUCUUAUCAACUGUUUGUUCUUGAUAGACAGCCAAAUCUCUAUCAACAAAGAUGAUGCCAAAAGUUAGGAAUAGCUUCUUGUCCUUGUAAUCAUUUUUUUUCUACUUUUAUUUUUUACUUUUUAUUUUAUUUUUUAAUAUUUUUUUUCUUUCAUUUUUAUUUUUUAUUUAUUUUUUAUCUAUUAAUUUUUUUUCUUCUUUUUAAUUCUCUCUUCUUUUGAUUUUGCUAUUCAAUCACUCUAUUUUUUUUAUUUAUAAAAACUAAUAAUGAUUGAUUUUUUUAUUUUUUAUUUGAUUUUAUUUUUCUCAUCUUUUCAUGGAUUUUUUUGAACUUUAGAUUCUUUUUUAUUGUCUAUUUAAAAAAAAUAUAUGAUAAUAAAUUGUUUUUAUUAAUUAUAAUCUAAUAUUAGCUAAAUUAAAAAUAAAAAAGUCUUUUCACCUUAGAAGUCCAUAUCAAGAACUUCUUCCAUCUAUUUUGAUAUGCACUAAUAUUUCCAGGUUUUUUUUUUUUUUUUUUUUUUUUUUUCUAUUUGUCUAAGAAUUCCUCUAGUAACUCAUAAAAAAUUGUGAUUAAAAGCACAAUAAGUUUCCUUUCUUUAUAAUAGAUGUUUUUUUAGGACCAAAAUAUUACAAAGUCUUUGCUGUAUUAAAUUAAAUUUAAGAGCUUCAAUUUAUAUAAUAAAUAAAGGUUUUUUAAAAAAAUAUGAAAUAUUUUUGAAAAAAAAAACUAAGCCUAUACAUGUAGAAUUCAUAGAUGGUUGUUUUUUUUUCUUUUAGAGAUAUUAUCUAUGAAACUAUUUUUUUAAGAUAGUUGCUAAGAUCUUAAUAACAUCAUAAUAUCUUAGUAAUAUUUAAUGAUAUUAUAAUUCUUUCUAUUCUAGUCAUUUUAGAUUUAUUGUGGCUAAAGAAGUGUAAUCCUCAAAUAGGCUUGAUUUCUUAUAGUUAUAAUUUUUUUCAUAAUUUUAUUUAGACUUUUAAUAUCCAAGUAAAAAACUAUUAGUCUAAUACAUCCUUAUUAAUAAGUGCAAGAGCUUUUAUAUAUGUUGCAAAAGAAGUAUUAAUUUAUUUUUAUUCAUUAUGAACCCAAAUUUCACCAUUCAAUGAAAUUGAUGCUAUACAACAAGUUCAAGAGGUGGAAUGGAAGAACUCUCAAUUAAGUAAUUGCUAAGUUAAUUUAGAUCUUCGUGUUUGGAGUAUAAUUAACUUUAAGCCUUCCAAGCAAUGGUUAUUAAUAUUAAUAAAAAAAUAUUUAAUAAAAUUUACUAUCAUCUUCAAUGCUAUUUGCAUGAUUUCCAUUUAAAUCUCAAUGGUUUGUUCAAGUUCAUUUAUAUAGUCAUUAAUUAUUAAUUUUUAUGUAAUUUAAAAAUUAGAAUAAAUUAGAAUAAAUAAAUAAUUAAUUAGGUAAAACUUAUAAAUUAUCACUUCUUAAAUAAUUGAUGGUAAAAAUAAUUGAUUAAGUUAUUACCAUUGAUCCAUAGUAAAAAUAAAAAUCUUAAAGAUUAAAUUAAAAAUAAAAAUAAAAAUGAAAAUAAAAGGAUUAAAAUUUAAAAAUUAAAAAUUAAAAUCUAAAAGUUGAAAUAUAGAAGUUACAAAUUAUUAUAAAAAUAAAAGUAAAAGUGAGACUAAAGAGAGACAAAAGCGAAGGUAUCUUGAUAACACCCAAGAAUUGAGGGCAACAAAUCCUUUCUCUUCCAAAAUUUGCCAACAAUCGUGAUUAGAUCCAAAUUGAAUGACUUUUAGUUUUUUGCAAAAUUAACUUGAAGUACCUAAGUGCAAGAAAUGCUCCUUCAAAGUUGAGUGACCAAGACUGCCACUCCAAGCAACCUCUUUCUACUUGAAAAUUAACCAAAAAUUCAAUUUGUCUUUAAAUUUAGUAAAAUUUAUGCCAAUAGAAGCUCAGCUUAGAGGUGCAUUUAAUUCUAAAAUUUCACAAUAAUUCAAUUAGGAAGCACUGAGAAAUGCCUUUUCAAAGAUGAAAGCUCUAAACUGCUAAGGCAGCCAAUCUCCGCGCAUUCAAAAUUUCACCAAAAUUUCACCCUUAUUCCAAAUCAAGCAAACCUUACUUUAUUAGAAAGCUAACACUAAAAUCUACAACUAAAAAAUAUUUUACAUUGAAAAUCAAAAAAUUGAAUGAUUGAUUUAGGAAAAUUCGAGGCUCCUGAAUCCCUUAGAAUAUUUGAGAGGCCAAGGGAGCUGUCUAUCACAAUGAAGUAUGUUUAAAAAUCCAGUGACCAUCAUUUAUUACUCAAAAUCCAUGCAAAUACAACCAAAAUUUUAAAAAAUGAGAUUAAAAAUCAAAAAUAAAAUUGAGAAUAAAGUUUAGGACCAAAAUUUGGCAUAACUUAGGCUUUUAUUAAAAGAGGAGAGAGAGAGGGCUUGGGGAACCAAGCCACUCUUAUACAAUUAAAUGGUGGCUUGUGGGAAGGUGGCCACAUCUCCACCCUUGAUCUCUAAGAUCUCUAAUGUAGAUCUAUGGCCUUCAUUCAUCUGAGAGCUAAUUUUGUUACCAAGGCUUAUGGCUAUUGUAAGUAGUCAAGAAAGUACUUUUUGAUAAAUCUAACUUCACUAUUAUAUUUUAAAAAAACUUUGUAUGCUAAGAUCGACUAUUCACAUGCCUCAAUCCAUGUUCAAUUGCAAUUUUUAUGAAAGUUUUUACCUACAAGGAUCUUAGCAAUUCUUGUAAAAUUCUUCAAAAUGAGAAUUUCAUUGCUUUAUAUAUAUUUUGAAGGAGAGGAAGGUGAUCUUUUUUUCUUCACUCUACAAGGUGAAUUCGAUGCUACCAUUGCAUUAAAAAGGCUUCUAUUAAUUAGAAGAAUUAUUAUGCAAUUUAAAUUUGUUGAAUUUUGAAGAAAUCUCAAAACUGUUAGUUUUAAACUUCACUAGAUUUUUUAAAAAAUUAUAAUUCUAACUCACUCUAAAUCAUAUGAGAUGAUUGUAGGUGAACUCAUAGGCUCGUAGUCAAUCCUAAUUGUAAUGACUAACAACCUUUAAAUUAUUAAAACUAACUAAGUUGCUAUUUUAGUUUUCUAAUUCUUAUCACUUUGGUCCUAAUUAAUCUAAUUCAAGGAAUUAGGCUAUGAUUUAUACCAUCAAAGGUUGUAAUCCUAAAAAUUCUAUAAAAUUAAAUUUUAAUUGUAUAAAUUUUAAUCUAACAUGCUCAAUUAUCAUAAAAUAAAGAAAUAAUAAAAAUUUAAAUUUUGAAGUAUAAUUGAAAGCUCACAUUCAUGCCAUAUUUAUUUUUAAUGGUGUAAAGAUAUUAAGUAAUAUUUAAAGUUAGUAUAAAGAUUAUCAAGUAAUUCACAUAUUGUUUUAAAAUAUUAUCUUAAUAAUUACUAAAUUGAUCUUUAAGAAUAAAUUCAAUUGCCAUUUGGACAAAUCUAUAGCUUAUUGCAAAAUGAUUUGAUUGCAAUCAAGGAAUAUAUUAAUAAAAAUCUUAUCAAUAACUUCAUAUGCUAUUUAAAAUCUUUGAUAGGAAUUUAUAUCUUGUUUGUAAAGAAAAAUAAUGAAUCAUUGCAGAUGUGUAUAGAAUAUUGAAGGCUCUACAAGAUUAUCAUAAAAAAUAGAUAUAUUCUAUUUUUAAUAUCAUAACUUUUUGAUCAAUUGAAUCAAACAAAGAUCUAUAUAAAAUUAGAUAUAUAAAGGAUAUAUAACUUGAUAUGCAUUAAAAAAGAGAUGAAUAAAAGAUUGAAUUUUAAAUCAAAUAUGAACAUUUCAAAUAAAAUGUCAUGCCUUUUGGACUAGCAAAUGUACUAGUUAUUUUUUAACAUUUAAUAAAUAAAUUUUUUUGAGAAUUUUUAGAUUAUUUUAUCAUUUAUUAUCUAAAUAAUAUUUUAAUCUAUUCUAAGAAUAUAGAAGAGUAUAAACUUCAUAUUUUUUUGUAUUAUAAAAACUUAGAGAUACAAGAUUAUAUACAAAGAAGAAAAAGUUUAUAUUUUAUACAAUUUAAGUUGAUAUCUUGUCAAGGACAUAUAUCUUAAAGAAUUAAAAGAUUAAUAUAUUUUGGUAUAAAUCAAAAAGGCCAAAAAAUCACUCAAAGAUGGUAUGAUAUUAAACUUGAAUGGCUAUUGCCAAAGAUAAGAAGACUAAAUUUUUUUGAAAUAAGACUAAAUAUUAAAGCGGCAUUGACAAGAUUAAAUAAGGCUUCAUUCUUAUCUCCAUAUAUACUAUCUAAUUAAAAGCUAUAUGGCAAAAUUUUAUAAGUAUUAAUUGAGACCACACUGGAGUUUGGAACCACUUUAGGGUGGCCUAUUUGAAGCAAAGAAGACCAUUUGAGGCAAGAAAAUCCAUUUGAAGUUUAGAAGUUGGAUUCAAAAAGCUUGUAUUUUGGAUUAGAAGUUAAAGAAAAGAAAUAUGUGAUUUGGAAUUGUAAUGAGGGAGAUAUGGUUGUUUGAAGUUAAGGUGUGAAUUUGAUACCUAUUAUUAUUCUUUUAAGCAUAAAAGAGUUAUAAGAAAGUAUUUAAGAAUUAAAAAUAAGGUUAAAAAGCUGAAUUGAAGAACUAAAUUUUAUAUAAAGAAAUAAAUGCAUUCCAAUCUAGAACAAAGAAGAAAGAAUUGUUAAAAAUUGAGAUUUUUAAAUAAGUGAUUUUUAUGGAGGUUUUGAUUUGGACCAUAUCUUGAGUUUUUGGAUGAAUUUUUAGCUCAAAAUUUCUAUAAGUAUAAAUGAAUAUAUUUAAAAGUUGUAUAUAAAAAAAUUAUGGUAUUUGAGUAUUGGAUUUUUGAGAUAUGAUGGAAUUAAUAUAUAUAUGCCUAAAAAUUGAUAUAUUUAGUACUUGCUAGCAAUUAGACAAUAUCCAAAGACUUGUAAUGAAUUUAUGGUUGAUUUUUUAUAUAGAACUAAUUAAAGAUAUAAGUUAACAUGUGAAUUUUUUUAAUUCCAAUUGGACAAUUAGAUUAGAAGUUAUUGAGUGAUACAUAUAUAAAAGGCAUUUCUAUAUGAAUAGAAGUGAUUUUAGGAUUUUUAGUCACAUCUAAGGAACUCUUGUGCAUCUUAGACUUGUGUAUUUGAUGUAAUUAACUUUUUAAAGAUAAGUUAUAAGUAUUAUUUAUAUUUUAUAAAUUUAUAACUUGUUUGAGUAAUUAAUAGCAGCUAAAAGCCCAGCACUUAUUUAAAAUAAAUUCUCUCUAUCAAGACACAAAGUCUUCAAGUUAUUAUCAAAUUAAUCUAUUCUUAUCUAUUUAUAAUAAAUAAAUAACUAUUGGAAUAAAUAUUUAUGUUCAAGAAAUUAUCUCAUUUUUGAGGGAUAAGUUUCACAAGGGCAAUUGUAUUUAUUACAUUCUUUGAUGUUUCCUUUGAAGGUAGUUUAUAUGUUCUUUCAGCUUUCAAUAAUAUUCUAUUUCAAGGAAAAAACCAUCUUGUUAUUUGAUUAUUAUUAAGGCCUAAGUAACUCUCUUCAAACAAUAGAUUUGUUAUACCAUCCGGAAUUAUUCCUACCUUCAAUAAAAUCAACAAAUAUUGGAAGUCUCUUCUAAGGUUGUGAUACUAAAUGCAUUGUGUCUUGCCAUAUAUUUAAGGUAAAAUAUAUUAUUCUUAAAGGUCUUCAUUUCAAUUAUAUUGUCUUGAAGGUUGCAAUAAUUAUAAUAUCUCAUCUUGUAAGUUAGCAAAUAAUGGUUCUUGAAUUGAUUCUAUUAGAUGUUGAUUCUCCAUCUCUUUAGUACCACAAAUACAUAAAAACUACAAACAAGGAUAGAAGGUCAAAUGUAAUCUUUCUUAAAUUGAAAUUCUUUAAUUGUAAAGAUUUGUUAUUCUUCAUUUUAGUUUUGAUGGAUGUUAUCAAUAAAAAGUAUCAAUCUUCUUUGCUAUAUUUACAAGAUUUUUUAUUGGCUCAUAUGUGUAUUUAUUAAUAUCAUAUUUAUGCUAAUAAAUAAGAUAUUUUAACCUAUUCUUAUACUUCCUUGAGUCUAAGACUUCUUCAACUUCUUACACUUAGUUAUUAUCUACUUUUAAAAGAAGAAGUGGCAUUUUCCAUCUUUCUAGUAUAUCUAUUAUCUUAUAUGGUUUAAAAAGAGUCACAUGAAACAUAGAAUAGAUCUCUAUAGAUUUUGAUAGGUAUAAUUGAUAAGCAACAAGAUCAAUUUGUUUACAUAUAAAAAAAUGAUCUAAAUCUAUAGUAAUCCAACUUAUUAUAAGAAUACAUAGACUUGAUAUUACAACAAAAUAACCAUAGUUUGUCACUAAUAUGGAAUUGAGUUUAUUCUUUACAAUAUACAUUUGCAUUGAUCUUUUGUCAUUCUUGAGCUUCUUUUAAUUAUGCCUUUAUGGUUGCAUGUAGUUCUUAUAAAUAAUUUGCCAAAUCUUUUACUAUAGGAUUAUCAACUUUUCAAAAGUCAAAAGUAUGAAGUUAUAGAUGAUAACCAUAAUUAACAAAGAAAGCAUUUAUUAAAUAGAAGAAUGUAUUAUGUUAUUAUAAGCAAAUGUUGCCAAUGGUAAAAGCGUUGUCCAAUCAUCUUGUUAGUAGUUGAUGAUACACCUCAAAUAUUGCUUCAAAAUUUAAUUCACUUGUUCUAUUUGGCCAUAAGUUUGAGGAUUGAAAGCCAAAGAUAGUUUUAUAUCUACUUUCAAAAUCUUGAAAAAAAAUUUCAAAAUCUUAAUAAAAAUUAUAUUUUUUUAUCAAAUAUAAUAUUCUUUGGUAAUCCAUGAUAAAAAUAAAUCAAAUGAUCAAUAUUAAAGUUUAUGAAAAUAUAAGGCCAUGAUUUUUUUGAAAUAAGGGAGGUGGAUGUCAUAAUGUAAAACGGCUAAUAAAUAAAAGGAUGAAGAAAAUAUCAUAUUUUUGAAGAUCUUAUUUCAAAUAAAUUAUAACAAAUUAUCUUAGAAAAAUAGAUAAUAGUCAAGAUGUAGAGAAAUUAAAGGUGUUAAUACUACCUUUUUUCAAAAUAUGCUUCUACUCUACAAAUAGAGCAAAAUAAGAUAGAUUAGAAAAAUAAAAAAUAUAGGCACCUUUGGAAAAAAGUUAAGAAUAGUUUCUAGCAAAAAUUAUUUAGAAAAACUAGAUAUUGAUACCCGGAGAGGCUUGGUUAUGAUUUAGGAUUGAAAUUAGACCCCAAAGCAUAAAACCAAGCUCCAACAAUAAUUCUAGGGUGCUUUGGAGAGAUCAAAGGAUAGGAUCUAAGAGUUGACUUGAUAGAUUUUUUUUGAGUGUUGAUUUGGUGUGAUUUGAGUGUGUAUUGACUUUGUAAGAGCUUUGUAAAGUUAGGAUUUGUUUUGGGUGACUCUUGAUUUGUGAAAUAAAGUAGGUGAUAAUUUUUGGAGAAUUUCAUAAGUUUGGCAAUAGAUUUGCAAAUGAAAAUUUGAAGAUUUGGUGGUAUAUAUGUAUUCAAUAUAUGUUGUAAGUUUGACCUUGAUGAAAUGGUUGGAUCAAGGGUUAUUGAGGUUUAAGUGGGUCGGAAUCUCAAGAAGUAGAGUUUUAGGUCUAGUAAGGAUUUCUUAGAUUUCUUGUAAUUUAUUACUUGGAUUAAAAUAAAAAUUAUGUGUGUGGGUAAUAGACUUAUUUUUCUAUAUAUAUGAAAAAUUUGAAAUCAAUCAAAUAGUUCAAUAAGGAGAUAUUGAUGCUGGAAAUUCAACAUUCAGAUUGAAGAAGGAGACCGGCCAACAUUUGAGAAAAUAUUAGGGUUGAUCUUUUUUUUGGUGGGUUCGAUUUUCUUCAAAAAUUUUGUGCUUGUUUUCAACUUAAUUUUGAAGAGGUAUGAAAAAUUUGAGUUAAAAUCGAUGGUACAUUCAUUAGUUAUUGAGGUUUAAAUCUGCUAUAGGAAUUACUUGGGAUUACUUAGGAUUUGGUUAGGGUAUGUUUAAGAUUUGAUUAGAGUUCGGUUAAGAUUUGUUUAGAUUUGUUUAGGAUUUGGUUAGGAUUUGGUGAGGAUUCGACUAAGAUUUGGUUAGGAUUUGAGUAAGAUUUGGUUAGGUUUUGUUUAGGGUUUGUUUAAGAUUUGAUUAAGGUUUGAUAAGGAUUUGGUUAAGGUUUUUUUAGGAUUUAUUUAGGGUUUGAUAAGGGUUUGGUUAAGAUUUGUUUAGGAUUUGAUUAGGAUUUUAUUAAGAUUUUUUAGAAUUUGACUAGGAUUUAUUUAGAAUUUAGUUAGGAUUUGACUAGGAUUUAAUUAAAAUUUUUAUUUUAAUAUUUUAUUAAGAUUUCUAUUUUAGUAUAUUUUUGAAUUCUAUAUUAUUUCUUUAUGAUUUCUUUAAAGGUUCUUUAAGAAUACUUUGUAUUUCUUAUAUAUUUUCUUUGAAAUUUUGAUUGAAUUUGAUUUGAUAUUUAAUUAUAUUUGCUAAUCUUUAAUUAUAAUUUGUUUAAAAAUCUAUUAGAGUUUUUAGGAUUUGUUGUUGGAAUUUUUCUUUUAUCUUCCAUAGCCAAGUGCCUAGAGCAUUCUCAAACCAAAUGCCAUGUAUUACAAUAUCCUGUAGUAGUUUAUCGAAUAAGCUAACUAUGUGGCAUAUACAUAGAUAAUUUGCCUUGCAAAUUAAGACAUGUGGCUAGCAAAGUCAA